CAAAGAAUAGUUUAGUUUAGAAUCCUAGCUUUGGGGGCUAGGGGUGAGAGUUUAAAUCUCUUUUCUUUGA
Molecule: transfer RNA, 70 nt
Filed under: Rexea nakamurai (Nakamura's escolar)
Lineage: Eukaryota; Metazoa; Chordata; Actinopteri; Scombriformes; Gempylidae
Description: tRNA-Pro
Rfam family: tRNA
About the family: Transfer RNA (tRNA) molecules are approximately 80 nucleotides in length. Their secondary structure includes four short double-helical elements and three loops (D, anti-codon, and T loops).
Source: RNAcentral